UUGUGGCAAAUACUCAUUUUGUUUGUUUAUAAUAUAUUGUAAAAUGUGUGUAUCUAUGACGUUUUUGUGGAAAAUUCGUUUCAAUAACAAUUAACAGCUAGACUAAUUUUAUUAGAAUAAAGCCUCAGCAGAACUUUGUUUCGGAUAUUGACAAUAUUGAACGUUUUAUCUAGAUAUCCAAUGUGGGCAACUAUAAAUUUGAGGAUCAAUGCAACUGAAGUUAUUGAUUUAUCACUGUUGAGUGUUGAUAGUACUGCUGAAGAAGACGGAGAGCAAUGUUUGAUCUCAAGAUUCACUAAACAAAAGCUCAGACUGUUGACUACACAUCGCAUAAGUUUGUUGUGAUAGAUGUAACAGAAUCUCAUGUGACACCGGGCUCCCUUAUCUCUGACAGAUUCCAUUUCAGAAGAAUUUAUUUGCAGUUGACAUUUCAAAAUGGAUUUUCGACAAAACAUUCCGAAUCUGGAAAUAUGGCAUGAUAACUUUUUUCUUUGAAAAUUUUCAUUUGAUUAAAUUAAACUAAUCUGAAUGAUAUUACAGAAAACAUACAGAUUAAUUCUGACAAUGUCUAGUUAUACACAGAAAUAUUAUAUUGGUAUGCAUUAUUGUAUUUCUGUACAUAUGAAUGUUUUGCUUGUUAACUGGAUUUACUUCUUUUUAUUUAACAGGGGUUUAAAUGACCGCCAUCUUUGCAUGCAUAAUUCAGCUCUAGUGUUAAAAUUGUCUGAAGCAUUUAAAAAAAACUUGCAGAGAAAUAGCUGUUUAAAAAUUGUCGGAAUUAAUGGGACACCCUGUAUAAUAAUGGUUAUUUUAUUUAUAAUAUCCAUAUACAGGGUGUCCCAUGAAACAUGACAGCAGCAAGACGAAUUGAAUGUCCCCCUUCUUUUUAAAAAAAACUUACGUAGUUUAGUCUUAAACCUAAUUUAAAAGUAAAGUUCUAGGGUUAAUAUUAACUAAACUCUCCUAGUCUUAGCAUUUUUAAAAAUGUGGUCAAAUGCGGUUAGAUUAAAUUCAUCAUUCAUCAAAAUUUGAUGAUUCGGGCUACUAGGUUAAAAAUGGCUCCGGUGCUCCAACAAAUUUUGUUAGGAGCAAAUUUCACAUUUUUUAGUGUAAAAAUAAUAAACCCCAUGUUAAGUUGAAGUGAACAGAAACAUGUGAUAGAACAACCAGACACUGAUGAGCUCUUGGAACUUUGAAGAACCUUUUGUGAUUCACCAACCACAAUUUUAAAACUAAAAGUGAAGAUUUAUAAUGAGAUCUGAUCAAAGGUCCUACUAAUCGAGGAUUCGGGAUCCAUCGUAAACGGAUCAAGGAGUCAACAAAUCAAGGAUCAAGGACUCAACUAGACAAGGAAAUAUUCAAAGAAAGUCAACAUUGAACAGAAGUCAAGCCUUGAUGUUGCCAACAUUGGAAAAUUCUAGGAAGGAUAUAUUUUAAACAAAAAUGAGCGCAUAUGAAAAAUUGGCUUUAAAAAUGGCAGGCUGGUCAUUCUGCAGAUAAAAUGUCAAGAAAAGGUGGGAUAUUUUGACUCU
Molecule: long non-coding RNA, 1532 nt
Organism: Eurytemora carolleeae
Lineage: Eukaryota; Metazoa; Arthropoda; Copepoda; Calanoida; Temoridae
Exons: 4
Source: RefSeq, a predicted model, not a curated record